AACUUUUGACAAUGGAUCACUUGGUUCUCGCAUCGAUGAAGAACGCAGCGAAUUGCGAUAUGUAAUGUGAAUUGGAGAAUUCAGUGAAUCAUCGAAUCUUUGAACGCACCUUGCGCCCUUUGGUAUUCCGAAGGGCAUGCCUGUUUGAGUGUCAUUAAAUUCUCAACUUCAAAGAGUUUAUCUCUUUUUGAAGCUUGGACUAUGGAGGCUUGCCGGCAAAAUAUAGUCAGCUCCUCUUAAAUGCAUUAGCAGAAUCUUUAUAAAGGACUAGCUCCAGUUUGAUAAUUCUAUCUAUGCUGUUGCUUGUUAACCUUUCUGUGUUCAGCUUCUAAUAGUCUUUUAGACUGUCUCUAUGAGGCAUACACUUUUAAGCUUGACCUCAAAUCAGGUAGGACUACCCGCUGAACUUAAGCAUAUCAAUAAGCGGAGGCU
RNAcentral lists this unclassified non-coding RNA (432 nucleotides) under uncultured Agaricomycetes. RNAcentral's name for it is "sequence contains ITS2". The stretch from base 1 to 154 matches the Rfam family "5.8S ribosomal RNA". The record is from RNAcentral. Lineage: Eukaryota; Fungi; Basidiomycota; Agaricomycetes.